AUCCUUUUGUAGUUCAUAAGCGUGAUGAUUGGGUUUUCAUGCACAUGCGUGAGAUGUGCCUCCCACAAAUCUUGUUACGACAUCGGCAUAUUACCCGUCUGAAA
Molecule: small nucleolar RNA, 104 nt
Organism: Otolemur garnettii (small-eared galago)
Lineage: Eukaryota; Metazoa; Chordata; Mammalia; Primates; Galagidae
Source: Ensembl